RNAcentral lists this ribosomal RNA (406 nucleotides) under uncultured bacterium. RNAcentral describes it as "partial 16S ribosomal RNA". It matches the Rfam family "Bacterial small subunit ribosomal RNA", at positions 28 to 526 of the family's 1533-position model. The record is from RNAcentral.
GAUGAACGCUGGCGGCGUGCCUAAUACAUGCAAGUCGAGCGAGCGGCGGACGGGUGAGUAAUGUCUGGGAAACUGCCUGAUGGAGGGGGAUAACUACUGGAAACGGUAGCUAAUACCGCAUACCAUCAGAUGUGCCCAGAUGGGAUUAGCUAGUUGGUAAGGUAACGGCUUACCAAGGCAACGAUGCCUAGCCGACCUGAGAGGGUGAUCGGCCACACUGGAACUGAGACACGGUCCAGACUCCUACGGGAGGCAGCAGUGGGGAAUAUUGCACAAUGGGCGCAAGCCUGAUGCAGCCAUGCCGCGUGUGUGAAGAAGGCCUUCGGGUUGUAAAGCACUUUCAGCGAGGAGGCGUUACUCGCAGAAGAAGCACCGGCUAACUCCGUGCCAGCAGCCGCGGUAAUAC